UGGUCUCAUAGCUCAGUCGGUUAGAGCAUCUGACUCAUAAUCAGAGGGUCGUUGGUUCGAGCCCAACUGGGACCACAAA
Molecule: transfer RNA, 79 nt
Filed under: Capnocytophaga sputigena ATCC 33612
Lineage: Bacteria; Pseudomonadati; Bacteroidota; Flavobacteriia; Flavobacteriales; Flavobacteriaceae
Description: tRNA-Met
Rfam family: tRNA
About the family: Transfer RNA (tRNA) molecules are approximately 80 nucleotides in length. Their secondary structure includes four short double-helical elements and three loops (D, anti-codon, and T loops).
Source: RNAcentral